GGUCAUGUGGCCUAGUGGUCAAGGCAUCUGCCCGGUAAGCGGAAGGUCGUGGGUUCGAUUCCCAUCCCUUGACACU
This 76-nucleotide transfer RNA is filed under the name Cordylochernes scorpioides. RNAcentral describes it as "tRNA-Thr". It matches the Rfam family "tRNA". Rfam says of the family: Transfer RNA (tRNA) molecules are approximately 80 nucleotides in length. The record is from RNAcentral. Lineage: Eukaryota; Metazoa; Arthropoda; Arachnida; Pseudoscorpiones; Chernetidae.